RNAcentral lists this ribosomal RNA (253 nucleotides) under uncultured bacterium. RNAcentral describes it as "partial 16S ribosomal RNA". It matches the Rfam family "Bacterial small subunit ribosomal RNA", at positions 524 to 776 of the family's 1533-position model. The record is from RNAcentral.
UACGGAGGUUCCAAGCGUUGUUCGGAAUUACUGGGCGUAAAGGGAGCGCAGGCGGUCAAGUCAGUCCAAAGUGGAAGCCCGGGGCUCAACCUCGGAAAGCCUUUGGAUACUGCUUGACUUGAGUACGUGAGAGGAAGGCGGAAUUCAAGGUGUAGCGGUGAAAUGCUUAGAUAUCUUGAGGAACACCAAUGGCGAAAGCAGCCUUCUGGCACGACACUGACGCUGAGGCUCGAAAGCGUGGGGAGCAAACAGG